UAUGGGAAGCCGUGAUGCGGAGUGAAAUAAAGUAACGAAGUCCGUGAGCCAUGCGUCAAGAAAAGCCGCUAUUGUUUAUACCGUACCCGUACCGUAAACCGACACAGGUGGAUGAGGAGAGAAUCCUAAGGCCGGCGGAAGAAGCAUUGUCAAGGAACUCGGCAAAAUGGCCCCGUAACUUAGGGAUAAGGGGUGCCUGGGAAACCAGGCCGCAGAGAAUAGGCUCAAGCAACUGUUUAGCAAAAACACAGGUCUAUGCGAAACCGAAAGGUGAGGUAUAUGGGCUGACGCCUGCCCGGUGCUGGAAGGUUAAGAGGAGAGGUUAGCGCAAGCGAAGCUUUGAAUUUAAGCCCCAGUAAACGGCGGCCGUAACAAUAACGGUCCUAAGGUAGCGAAAUUCCUUGUCGGGUAAGUUCCGACCCGCACGAAAGGCGUAAUGAUUUGAGCGCUGUCUCGACAAUGCAUCCGGUGAAAUUGAAGUACCAGUGAAGAUGCUGGUUACCUGCGCCAGGACGGAAAGACCCCAUGGAGCUUUACUCCAGUUUGGUACUGGGACUCGGUAUUGCAUGUACAGGAUAGGUGGGAGGCUGAGAGACAGUAACGCCAGUUAUUGUGGAGCCGCUGUUGGGAUACCACCCUUGCAGUAUUGGGUUUCUAACCAGCCGCCGUGACCCGGCGGUGGGACAAUGCCAGACGGGGAGUUUGACUGGGGCGGUCGCCUCCGAAAGGGUAUCGGAGGCGCCCAAAGGUUCCCUCAGAAUGGACGGAAACCAUUCGAAGAGUGCAAAGGCAGAAGGGAGCUUGACUGCGACACCGACGGGUGGAGCAAGUACGAAAGUAGGGCUUAGUGAUCCGGUGGUAUUAAGUGGGAAUGCCAUCGCUCAACGGAUAAAAGCUACCCUGGGAUAACAGGCUUAUCACUCCCAAGAGUUCACAUCGACGGAGUGGUUUGGCACCUCGAUGUCGGCUCAUCGCAUCCUGGGGCUGUAGUAGGUCCCAAGGGUUGGGCUGUUCGCCCAUUAAAGCGGUACGCGAGCUGGGUUCAGAACGUCGUGAGACAGUUCGGUCCCUAUCCGGCGUGGGCGUAGGAUAUCUGAGAGGAGCUGUCCUUAGUACGAGAGGACCGGGAUGGACGGGCCGCUGGUGCAUCGGUUAGACUGCCAAGUCUACGGCCGAGUAGCCGAGCCCGGAAGGGAUAAACGCUGAAGGCAUCUAAGCGUGAAGCCCCCCUUAAGAUGAGAUAUCCCAUUCGAAAGAAGUAAACCCCCUUGAAGACGACGAGGUAGAUAGGGCAGAGGUGGAAGUGUGGCAACACAUGGAGCUGACUGUUACUAAUCGGGUGAGGGCUUGAUC
This 1353-nucleotide ribosomal RNA is filed under the name metagenome. RNAcentral's name for it is "bacterial LSU rRNA". It matches the Rfam family "Bacterial large subunit ribosomal RNA", at positions 1552 to 2925 of the family's 2925-position model. The record is from RNAcentral.